AGAGUUUGAUCCUGGCUCAGAACGAACGCUGGCGGCGUGCUUAACACAUGCAAGUCGAACGUGAUCCGGAGCUUGCUCCGGUGAAAGUGGCGCACGGGUGAGUAACGCGUGGAUAAUCUGCCCUGGUAUCUGGGAUAACAUCUCGAAAGGGGUGCUAAUACCGGAUAAGCCUACGGACUCCUCGGAGUCUGCAGGAAAAGGAGGCCUCUAUUUAUAAGCUUCCGUAUCAUGAUGGGUCCGCGUACCAUUAGCUAGUUGGUGGGGUAAUGGCCUACCAAGGCGACGAUGGUUAGCUGGUCUGAGAGGAUGAUCAGCCACACUGGAACUGAGACACGGUCCAGACUCCUACGGGAGGCAGCAGUGGGGAAUUUUGCGCAAUGGGGGAAACCCUGACGCAGCAACGCCGCGUGAGUGAUGAAGGCUUUCGGGUCGUAAAGCUCUGUCAGAGGGGAAGAAAUGAAACGUGCUAAUAUCACGUUUUCUUGACGGUACCCUCAAAGGAAGCACCGGCUAACUCCGUGCCAGCAGCCGCGGUAA
RNAcentral lists this ribosomal RNA (537 nucleotides) under uncultured bacterium. RNAcentral's name for it is "bacterial SSU rRNA". It matches the Rfam family "Bacterial small subunit ribosomal RNA", at positions 8 to 523 of the family's 1533-position model. The record is from RNAcentral.